Molecule: RNA transcript, 2552 nt
Organism: Ixodes scapularis (black-legged tick)
Lineage: Eukaryota; Metazoa; Arthropoda; Arachnida; Ixodida; Ixodidae
Exons: 7
Source: RefSeq, a predicted model, not a curated record
GGAAGGAGUUACUGUGACAGCUCCGUGCUGGCGAGCCGAUCCACGUCCACCUCACUCCAGCGAAAACAUAACAUCGAUUCAAAAGGACAUGACAGGACAAGAUGAAGACACCGAACGCUCUGUGGGGUCCAUAGAAGGGUCAUGGGAAGCCCGGCCGGGGCACGUCGUCAACGACACGGAAGUGGUCUUGAAGCCCUCAAUUUCUGCGAAAUUUCAGCGGGCGGUUUGGUGCGUUCCUUACUUAUAUCAACUCAUCUGGAUGUCGGCCCUGGUUUGUCUGAUGGCUCCGUUUUUCCCGUCGCUUGCCACUUCAAGAGGCGUCAAAAUCUGGGAGUACGGCAUGGUGUUGUCGGCCUUCAAGCUAGCCAUUCUACCGGGAAGUUUGCUUGGUGAAAAAUUUAUUACAGGAACGUCACCCAGAGCGGCGUAUGUGACUUCUGUGACAAGCAUGAGCGUGUUCUGCCUCUUAUUUGGGGCUUGCUCGAAGCGGCGUCAGGAUUAGGAAACAUUUGCGGUCAGCUCGCUGGCGGUGUCGUCACUGAUUUGUGGAAAUUACCAACGUCCUACUACGCGUGCGGUAUAGGUCUCCUCUUAGCACUGCCAUUUAUAACGGAACCGCAUGAAGUCACUGAACGGAACAAUGUCGAAUCCCCUGCCUCAUCUAUUGACAGCAGCGACCAAGGGCGUCACGAAGUUCAAUUCAACGAAUGAAAACGUAGGAGCCGUAUUUACCUGUAAUUCAGGUGGGUAUUCUCUAGCGUCCUUGCUUGCAGGAUUCUUGGCAUCACACGAGAUGGAGACAACAACCAUAUUUGCGGGCUAUAUCCUGAGUGCCCUGGCAUUCUUGCUCGUAGGGCCUGCACCGUUUCUGCCAUUCCAACCGUAGGUGUCCAAGCAAAAUGCGUAAUAUUUGAUUAUAUUAAACACUUACAAAUUUUAUUUAAAUCAUAAACCACAAUGGUACUUCGAUAAAUAAAAGCGAAGAAAUACUAAUGCAAUAUUUAGAAUGCUAGUACUUUAUCAUUAUUUGAAAACUUUUUUUUAAUAUUUAGUGCUCUGUCGGAAUGACCACUUUAGCAGUCGCAUAUUCAAUAUAGUAUAUAACCGACUCUGUGGUGUCCGCAAAAGCGACUUUUAUCGGUUUUUAAACGAUAAAUUAAAGUAAUCUUUGAGAUAGGCAGGCACAGGUUAUUUUGUUGUGUAAAUGUAUUUAAUACUAGGGGUUUGUGGAUUAUCCUGGUGGUACUAACAACUUAAGCACUUGUUAAAUAAACGGCAGAAUGUAUCUUGCCACUAGCAUCACCUUUUCUCCUUUCUUGAACGUCUACUACGUAAUUAUGGGCAUGACGCAAUGAAACUCGAUACACGCCAACUUCUACAAAUUCGCUUAUCUAACCGCUCAUCCUCCUUUGAUAAAAAUAUUACAUAAAGUGUGGUCUGAAUUUUAAACUUCAAAGCAGAAUAUUCCAGAUUGCAAGUACUUGAUAUAAAGUAAUAACGAGGAUAAAGGAAUAAUAACGUAUUACUCUUCUCUUUUGGCCGGCCAAAACAACAAAUUAAUUACAACUCACAGCAACAGAUUAUUGACAAGAAUACACAGGGUAUUUACAUGAAACACUGCGAUAUAUUUAUGCAAAAAGGCGCGCCGUUUUGUGUUCACCAGAGUAAAGUUGUCUCCUAAGAUUCAAUCUGACAUACAUUUUCGGCGCUUGGUCUUGCCCCUUCUUUUUUCCUUUCUGUUCUUUCUUUUUUGCGCUGUUUUCACCGUGGACCCUAAAAAUACUUGCCCAAACAUAAAUUCUAGUAAGGUAAAUUGCCCAUUGUGGUAGAGGAGCCUGUACGACGGAAGCUUUAUUAAAUAGUACACGUGUGAGGACAACCUAUCGUAGGUAGCGCCUUACCUACUUUCUAUUCUAAGAUAACGGUUCUAAAUGUUUCAUCGCUAGACUACUGUGAUGCAUAGUUCCACGAGGCCCCAUAAGCGUAUAGUUCUCCGGCCAACAAAAAUAAGUGUAUGUAAAAAAUACAUGCAAUCAGAACUUUUAUUAAUAAUAAACUUUCUCUUCCUCACACUGCUUAUGAAAACACAAUGAAAAAAUUAAAAAAGUUUACAACUUCCAGUAACGCCAAUUUAGAGCGCAGUUUUUGAGGAGGAGGAGGAGAGGGUACUGAUGGGAGCGUAUGACCCUCUUCUUCAUCCGUACCCUCCCCUCCUCCCCUCCCCCUUUCAAGCGUGAAAUGCGCGUCGUCACGCGCCGUUUCAGCACGGUGCACUUUGGGACGUUACCCAUAAUACACCGCGCGUUUACGCCGACGCCAACUCCGACGGUGACGCCGCUCAAGCCGAAAACGGGCACCUAAGAGCUGUGCUCUAAAAAAAAAAAAAGAGUAAUAAUGUUAAAGUAAAACUUGAAUCUUCCGCAUAGGGUAAGAUUACAGCUUUGUUUUAUAUAUUUUAGAAGCGUGGCACUUAUCAGCGCUGGACAGUUGCUGAUGGGAAGCGGCAUGGCAUUUAUAUUUGUCGGAUUCUUCACACUCUCACUCAAAGAUGU